AGAGGCUCGAGGCGAGCAGGUACAGCAGCUUCAAGCAGCUGUGGCCCCGCUCGCAAGGGGACAGCGGUCACACCACCUCGUACAGGCAAGAAUAUCGCCCAUGGACUGGAGCAAAACCAUCCAAACCUAUAAAGACAAAGCAAGGCUUCAUUAUCCCAGAAGAACAUUUUGUUCAAGAGACAAGCUACAAGGCAGAUUUUAAGGCACCAUCGCGGAUCCUCAACGUGUGAACCUGGACCCCGUUUGCAUCCAGGCGGCUUCAAUGUGGGCUGUUAAUAUGUGUCACUAUGCAAUUUUCAUGAGGAGUGUUACUAUCAAAGAAAAAAUAUUACCAAAAGCAGCUCCAGUGAUUAAAGAUAUGUACACACACUUUCUGUUAACACACAGAUCGCUAAGUGCUUGAUUCAGAACUGGCAAAACACACUGCAAGGAGUGA
Tinamus guttatus (white-throated tinamou) is the source of this 436-nucleotide non-coding RNA. The record is from RefSeq and is a predicted model, not a curated record. NCBI's taxonomy places the organism in Eukaryota, Metazoa, Chordata, Aves, Tinamiformes, Tinamidae.